Molecule: ribosomal RNA, 253 nt
Filed under: uncultured bacterium
Lineage: Bacteria
Description: partial 16S ribosomal RNA
Rfam family: Bacterial small subunit ribosomal RNA
Source: RNAcentral
UACGAAGGGGGCUAGCGUUGUUCGGAAUUACUGGGCGUAAAGCGCACGUAGGCGGCUUUGUAAGUUAGAGGUGAAAGCCCGGGGCUCAACUCCGGAAUUGCCUUUAAGACUGCAUCGCUAGAAUUGUGGAGAGGUAAGUGGAAUUCCGAGUGUAGAGGUGAAAUUCGUAGAUAUUCGGAAGAACACCAGUGGCAAAGGCGACUUACUGGACACAUAUUGACGCUGAGGUGCGAAAGCGUGGGGAGCAAACAGG